ACAGCAGUCGCCGCGGUAAUACGAAGGGUGCAAGCGUUACUCGGAAUUACUGGGCGUAAAGCGUGCGUAGGCGGCUUCUUAAGUCGGAUGUGAAAUCCCUGAGCUUAACUUAGGAAUUGCAUUCGAUACUGGGAAGCUAGAGUAUGGGAGAGGAUGGUAGAAUUCCAGGUGUAGCGGUGAAAUGCGUAGAGAUCUGGAGGAAUACCGAUGGCGAAGGCAGCCAUCUGGCCUAAUACUGACGCUGAGGUACGAAAGCAUGGGGAGCAAACAGGAUUAGAUACCCGCGUAGUCCCUGUCUCUUAUAC
This 305-nucleotide ribosomal RNA is filed under the name uncultured bacterium. Its description in RNAcentral is "partial 16S ribosomal RNA". It matches the Rfam family "Bacterial small subunit ribosomal RNA", at positions 508 to 807 of the family's 1533-position model. The record is from RNAcentral.